GGGAGCCCGGUGAAACCGAGGCACCACAGCUGGGUGAUCUGAACACCCCUGUACUUUGGCAUCACUGUUUUGCUUUAAAACUAUAGUGUUGUGUCCUGACUGGCCAACAGGUAGCAUAGUGUUGUUACUCACCACCUGCACUCUGUCAGACACAAACAAGUGUCGUAGUUCCUACAGUUAGUGCUAAUAGCUGUUAAUGCCUGUCUGCUACUGAGGAAGAGGGAUUUUCUCACCAUUGCUCUGCUAUUGAUUGAUUGGCUGUAAGGCCCAAUCAUCUAAAAUUUAUUUUUUUUAGUAUAUUUAAAGAGGUUUCUAAAUAAACCUUCUGUGUGAAUCUGGUGUUGGGAUGUUGGCAGGACUGCCAGCCUCUUCGCAGGUGGAAGAGUUGACAGGAGUGAAUGAACACGUGUUCUGUUGGAGGCAUUUGGAAAAAGCCAGCUUCCUGACUUAAAAAAAGAAAGUAUCUACUUUUUUCCUAACAAAGUUGUCCCUUUCUGACUUACUAACAUGUCUCAGCCCUCCCCAUUAAUUGGCCUUGUACCCUUUUGCUGUGGGCACAUGCAGUGCUCAUCAGACAGAUGCUUUUUUUAACUUUAUAAUUAAAAUAUAAACUAAAAAUGCAAGUGAUUUGAUCUAAAAGUGAUUUUACUCCAGUCACGCUCCAUAAGUGAUUGGAAUAAAAGGUUUUAUAGAAAUUUUAACAUUUACAAUAACAGAGACACCCUGGUCCCUAUCUUAAACUAUAGAAUCUUGGGGAGGUGCUGAUCUUAGAACUGCAUUUCAAGCUCACCCGUUCAGUCCGACAGGCAGAGACCAGAGCAUCUGCACGUGCUGACUAUGUGGUGAUACAGGUGAUGGUCUGACGAGCUGGUGAAAUGGAUAUUGAAGUGUGGGAGUUCAGGCCCUCUUACACUUGAAUUAAGGGAAUCUUCAGCCGUAAUAGUAAUGGGGUUUAAAAUUAGGUGAGUUGUAUGACAUAAAAUAAAUACCUGGUAAUCGGUCAUGGUUAAUGAAUUAGCUAGAAUGUAUGUGAUUUUAAACUUAAAUUCCAUGUACAUUUUGUCAAAGGCAGCUGUGUAAAAGCUAUUUGUUGGGCAAUUUUUUGGACACAACUUUGACAAGAAAAUUUGCAGCACCAUUGGAGGAGCUCAGGCAAACAGUCCAGUUACAUUUGAGUCUCUUUCCACAAACUAUUUUCAACCCUUGCCUGUUACCCUGUUGUCUGCACCUUGCUCAUUCUUAUUUCUUGAAGCAAACAUACUGUUAAGAUCAGCAUGUCCAUUGCAAACAGCAGUGGAUACAUUUUUCACAUGGUGAACAUACUCUGGUACAACCUAGACCUUCUCCAGAUCGUUAGCAGUUACAUUGCACAGCCAGCUAGCAUUUAAAGCUCUACAGGUGCACAGAGCAUUUGUUAGUCUAGAAAGUUGUAGUGUGUAUAGCUAGCUUUUAGACAUGGUAACAUCACAGCUUUCAAAUGCAGCUGGACAAUCAUGACUUAUACCAAAAAAACCCCCAAAUAACCCAUGCUAAUGGCCUUUCAGCGGUGCAGGUGUAAUCCCCAUGUGUUUGGGCUGUGUCGGCACCAUGGAUGCGAGUCCUGGCCCUUGCUGCCAGGCCCAAGCGGAGGCAGCACUGGUGUGAUUUCAUUCGGGGUGCUCAGGAGGAAGACCCACAGCCUGUGGCAGCCAGGAUCCACUGCUCAGCAUCGCGUGGGGUUGUGUGCACAAGGAGCGGGUACUACCCCUGUGGUGAAGUUGGACGCUGCGCAGCAGGGACCUGUGAGAUUCGCCUACAAAACUGACUCCUCUUUACUGUUCAGCUUGAGCACUCUGCUUCAUAAACACUCACCCCCAUAACUGGACAAACUUAUUUUUAAAGUAUGUAAGAAUAUUUUUUUAGCUAGGUUUUUUUUUUGUUAAAACCACACUAACUACUGUAUUUUUACCUUUUAUAUGUAAAGCUUGGCAAUAGCUCUCAAUGUAUAAUUUAUUUGUUUUUUUUUUUAUAAAACAAAGUGCACCCUCUUGCUUCUGUUUCACAACAGUAGUGAUGUAUGAACUGCUUUAGGCACUGCACUAAGAUCUGUAUUGAAACUGUUCAUGGGAACAAGAAACUGUGAUCUGUAGUCCAUUCUACCAAGUCUUGAAAUGUUUCUACUGUAGUUUUGUCUCAAAUAUACCACAUCAGUGCAAAA
This is a long non-coding RNA of Strigops habroptila (Kakapo), 2197 nucleotides long. NCBI's taxonomy places the organism in Eukaryota, Metazoa, Chordata, Aves, Psittaciformes, Psittacidae. The record is from Ensembl.